Non-coding RNA from Xyrichtys novacula (pearly razorfish), 5338 nucleotides. The record is from the annotation of a GenBank genome assembly. NCBI's taxonomy places the organism in Eukaryota, Metazoa, Chordata, Actinopteri, Labriformes, Labridae.
CUGCAGAGUCCCGGGAACGAUGCAGGAGUCCUGCAGAGUUAUUCGGUCACUGCGGCCCUUCAAAGACCCUGAAGGGAACCAGGGAACUGUGCUUUGGCUCCCUCAGGACGGCGGGACAAGAGCUCCUUUCAUGGGGGAAAAACAGUGGAAACUCUGUGCGAAGGAGUUAAUCACGCGCUGCAUAUGUGUCCUCUUUUGGCGGAGAGCGGAGGGAUAUAGCAGGAUUGGGCCACAAGGCAAUGAAGGAGGGGAUGAAUGGAUAUAUGGAUGCAAGGAUAGGUCAUGUGAUGGGUAAUUGGAACCAGGAGGCAAAGUGGCUUUGUUUUGGAUUCUUCACCCUCUACAUGUGUUGAUCUUACUGUGUACAUACAUGUCAUACAGUCAGGGGUUGAUCUGAAUUAGGACACUUCCACAUAUGCUUUGUUGCCAAUCUAACACUGCUUAAAGGGUGGCAAGAGAAGAAAGUCACUUGUUCUGGGCUGAAAUAUCUCGAGUAUUGUAUGGACUGUAAUGAGAUGUUGAACAAGCAUUACUGAUCCUCUGAGGGUGAGCCCUAAGAAGUUCUGCGAUUCUUAUUAAGUGUCUCCUGGCUUAACUGUGGUUCACACUCAUUUAUUUGAAUGUCUGAAGGUUGACUUUCCUUAUCAAAAGAUUCACCAUGAUAUAUUUUUAGUUUCUUAGUUUUCAACUAGGAUAUCUAUGAGUCAUAUUCUAAAAUAUAUUCAUAUGCAAUAAAUACAUUGACAGCCUAUGGCAUUCCUGGUCCUAAGAUAAUGUACCUUAAGAAGUUUUGAAAUCUCAUAGUCUUCCGACCUGCAUUCCUACAGUGCAAUCUGGAAAGUAUUCAUACCACUUCACGUUUUCCACAUUUUGUUAUGUUACAGCCUUAUUACAAAAUUGAUUAAAUUUCUUUUUUUCCCUCAAAAAUUCUACACAACACAUUUUGUAAAUUUAUUAAGAAUAAGACACUCAAAUGUUGCAUAUACAUAAGUAUUCACACCCUUUGCUAUAAAACUCAAAAUUGAGCUCAGGUUCAUCCUGUUUCCACUGGUCAGCCUUCAAAUGUUCCUCCAACUUGAUUGCAGUCCUCCUGUGGCAAAUUCAGUGGAUUGGACAUGAUUUGGAAAGCCACACCUGUCUAUGUAAGAUCCCACAGCUGACAGAGCAUGUCAGAGCACAAACCAAUCCAUGAAGUUGAAAGAAUUGUCUGUAGACCUCCGAAACAGGGUUGUAUCAGCGCACAGAUCUGGGGAAGGUUACAGAAAAAUAUCUGCUGCAUUGAAAAUCCCAAAAAGCACAGUGGUCUCCAUCAUUAAGAAAUAGAAGACACUUGGAACCACCAGGACUCUUCCUAGAGCUGGCCGCCCAGCCAAAAUGAGCAAGCGGGGGAGAAGGGCCUUGGUCAGGGAGGUGACCAAGAACCUGAUGGUCACUCUGACAGAGCUCCAGCGUUCCUCUGAGGAGAUGGGAGAACCCUACAGAAGGACCACCAUCUCUGCAGCACUCCACCAGUCAGGCAUUUAUGGUAGAGUGGCCAGACAGAAGCCACUCCUCAGUAAAAAGCACAUGACAGCCCACUUGGACUUUGCUACAAGGCACCUGAAGGACUCACAGACCAGGAGAAACAAAAUUCUCUGAUCUGAUGAAACGAAGAUCGAACUCUUUGGCCUGAAUGCCAAGUGUCAUGGUUGGAGGAAACCCGGCACCGCUUACCACCUCGCCAAUACCAUCCCUACAGUGAAGCAUGGUGGUGGCAGCAUCAUGCUGUGGGGAUGUUUUUCAGCGGCAGGAACUGGGAGACUUGUCAGAAUCGAGGGAAAAAUGAAUGCAGCUAAGUACAUCGAAAUCCUUGAUGAAAACCUGCUCCAGAGCGCUCGAGACCUUAGACUGGGGCGACACUUCAUCUUCCAGCAUGACAAUGACCCUAAGCACAUGGCCAAGAAGACAAAGGAGUGGCUUCAGGACAAGUCUCUGAGUGUCCUUGGCCAGCCAGUGGCCCAGCCAGAGCCCAGACUUGAACCUGGUUGAACAUCUUUGGAAAGACCUGAAAGUAUCUAUGCACCGACACUGCCCAUCCAACCUCACUGAGCUUGAGAGGACGUGCAAGGAAGAAACUCCCCAAAUCCGGGUGUGCCAAGCUUGUUGCAUCAUACACAAGAAGACUGGAGGCUGUAAUCGCUGCCAAAGGUGCUUCGACCAAGUAUUGAGUAAAGGGUGUGAAUACUUAUGUAUAUGCAACAUUUAAGAGUUCUUAUUUUUAAUAAAUUUGCAAAAUGUUCUAAAAAAAAGUUUUGGACUUUGUCAUUAUGGGUUAUUUUGUGUAGAAUUUUUGAGGGAAAAGGGGAAUUUAAUCCAUUUUGGACUAAGGCUGUAACAUAACAAAAUGUAGAAAAAGUGAAGUGGUAUGAAUACUUUCUGGAUGCACUGUAUAAACCACAUUUUCAAAAUAUGUAAAUAUAGCAGUACCUCUUUUGAUGUGAUUGAGCCCAGGAGGAUAAACUCUGAUGGCCUAUGUAAUCCCCUAACCUUCUAAACAAAAUUUUUGAAUAUAUAUAUAUAUAUAUAUAUAUAUAUAUAUAUAUAAAUCAUUAAAGAUUCUAAGAUACCAGGUCCCCAGAGGAUAAACCACACAAAGUUUUUUCUUUAAUCUUCUAUCAACUGGCAUACGCAACUACCACACAUUUAAAACUUUUUGUAAGAUUAUGUUUAAAUCUAAUGACAUUCCAAGUCCCAAGAGGGUAAACCAUGAUAAAUUAUGCAAUCUAGUCAUAUGACAUUCCCACACUUCAUUAUCAAUGAACCAUAUAUGGAAAACUUUAUAUCUAAAUAUCUUCUAUCUUUGACUUUCAUUUCUUUUCCCAGGAGGAUAAAUCAUGAUAACAUUUAGCGUAUCUUUGAACCACAUUUCCAAAAAUAUGUAUCAAUAUCUGUUCUUCUACUGGCAUUCAUAGUUCUAAGGGGCUAAACCAAGAUAAGGUUGACUUUUGCACUUGUGUAUGCAUGAACCACAUUUCAAAGACUUUAGUGUUUCCUGGCCGUUGUUAGCAGUCCUGGUCACCAGAGGAAACACCUCAAAGCCCUCCGGUGUAUGCUCAUUGUCAUUUUCAGCCUUGUAGCUUGUUGAUGUUGGCCCGACGGACCGAUGUUGAAAGCCCUGAGAGUAAAUAGAUUAGUCCUAUUGUAAAGAGUUAUUAAACUUGAUCUGUUAAAGCUUCAUACUCAUUAAGCUCAGUCUAAAAAGCUUCAAUGUCUCCAAAUCAAUCAUCCUUAAAACUCCCCUUGAGUGUCUGUCAGCCAACCCCCACACUGGAAUCUCCUCCUCUAAAGUCAUUUUUCAUGUGACAAUGGCUUAAAGUCUGAUUCAUUGCCAGAGUGGAGAGGAAUGUUGACACAACUGCCUCCAUCUGCCUGUCCUCAACUCACAGAUGGAGAAGAUUCUCAGCUGAGCGCACCAACACAUGUUCCCCGGCUUUUCAUCCUUGACAUGUUGUGGGAGAGUCGCAGCUUGGAUGUGUGAAUUGCAUGUUACUGUGGUGCUGCACUUCAGGAUAAGCUGACUGAGCAUGUGUCGGACUUGUGAUGGAUUUUUGUUCCUGCUGCUUUUGAAUGGGUUUAAAUGGGAGAGGCCUGUGUAUGAUUAUGGAAUUGGCCUUCUCAUAUUCUCUCUGCAGUCAGCUCGGAGUAAUAUUUUGCUUGUUUUAUUGACUUGGUGUUGAAGGUUGACGUGUGAAACAUAAAUUCGUUUUGGCGCUGCAACACAAGAGAACACAAAGGAGUGACUAUACAGGAUGGCGUACAGCGUGGUCAAAGAGUCAGGGUUCGGAGUGUGGGAAGGGGGUUCAGUGACAUGUCUGCUGCCAGUGUAAACAUGACUUGGAGCUGGUGCGUUAUCAGUGUGCCAAGUCUAUAGAAACAGCGAAGCUCUAAAACUCGGGCCUUAUGAGUCAGCCAAGAGCCCUGGACUCAGAAAACCUAUUCCAGUCCCUGGGUUACCACAGCAACGGGAACAGAUUGGAGCCACAUCUGGUAGCCAUUUCAGUCCCUGCAAGCAGAGGAAGAAAGAAAUUUAUGAGUGAGGGGGAAAAAGACAAAUAUUUUCUGCAAUGCAAAGCAGAAAGACAGCGGGGUCAAGUUUCACUUUUAAAAAGGGGGUCGAAAAUAUUAAUCCACUGUGGACACGGCGGAAAGUGGUUUCCGGUGCUCGUGUAAAAGGAGGGAAACAGUGUAAGCUUUAGUUUGUUUUGAGUUUCAAUCUUGUAAAAGUCACUAUGCAGAAAGCAACUUCUGUCAGCAAGUUUUCAAACAUACACUGAAGGAAUAAACACACUUUCUUACGCUCGUGCAAAGGCUCUUUUUCAUUUUGGAAACCUGAAGUUAAAGUGCAUAUAGUGUAUAUAAGAACAUCACAAGCUUCUACUCGAAAAAUGCCAAUGCAACUGAGAUAACAGGUUUUGACAUUUACAAGUGAAAGUAGCUUUUUGCUGCAGGGUCUGACAGAAAUGUGUCUGUGUUGCAGCACAAUUUCCUAAAGUGCAGUCAUUUCCCCUGGCUGCUUCGUUGCGUCAGAUGCGACCAGAGGAGAUUUGCAAAUUCUGUUUUCGUCUCCCGUCCCUGUCGACUGGCUGUCUGCGAGAGACACUGUCUAAUUGCAGUCCUCCUUACACGUUAAAUGUUGUUUCUCAGCCCUGUGGAAAUGCAGUAACUAUGAAAUGACAUUUACUGGAAAUGGAGCUGGUGCUUUUCUCGAGCCAAAACCGCUGAGAACUGAGGUCAGUGCGCAACCAGGAGGAGGGAGGAGAAACAGCGCCAGCAUCAAAUGUGUGUUUAUAGAUUUCCAGUGACAUCUACUCACUCUGCGAUUUAAGACCGUCAUUAUAAAAGACCCAAAACUCCCCUACAGUGGCGAGGAGCUCAGAAAAAACAGCUCUUAAUGCACAAAUUAAGAGCAACCGCACAACAAGCCGACCUCCCAAAGAGAUGCUUAGUCAGACGGGCUGGUAAAGAGACGAAACUAGGUCAAAAGAGCGGAAACUGCAGUUCAGGAUGAAACCACUUAUUACGAUUGUGAUUAAAGGGACAUUUAAGGAUUUUUCUUUUUGAGUGAGGUUGUAUCAGUUACAUGCAUAGACUGUACAUACUAUGGACAACUUGGUUCCGCCUCCUGUCUGUAUACGAAUUUAAAGACAAAAAACUCUCGGUAUUUCCGGGAUUUUUCUUCAUUUCCUGAAACCAGCGCUGCGCAGUAGCGUUGUGCGCAUUCGGCAGGAGAGUUGCUGUGAUGACGCUCGGCUCAAACAGCAUAUCCACCGGGUGAGCUACGCAAUCCCUGAAUGCCAAU